RNAcentral lists this ribosomal RNA (520 nucleotides) under uncultured bacterium. RNAcentral describes it as "partial 16S ribosomal RNA". It matches the Rfam family "Bacterial small subunit ribosomal RNA", at positions 355 to 883 of the family's 1533-position model. The record is from RNAcentral.
UGGGGAAUAUUGCACAAUGGGCGAAAGCCUGAUGCAGCAACGCCGCGUGAGGGACGACGGCCUUCGGGUUGUAAACCUCUUUUAGCAAGGAAGAAGCGAAAGUGACGGUACUUGCAGAAAAAGCGCCGGCUAACUACGUGCCAGCAGCCGCGGUAAUACGUAGGGCGCAAGCGUUAUCCGGAAUUAUUGGGCGUAAAGAGCUCGUAGGCGGUUUGUCGCGUCUGCUGUGAAAAACCCGAGGCUCAACCUCGGGCCUGCAGUGGGUACGGGCAGACUAGAGUGCGGUAGGGGAGAUUGGAACUCCUGGUGUAGCGGUGGAAUGCGCAGAUAUCAGGAAGAACACCGAUGGCGAAGGCAGAUCUCUGGGCCGUAACUGACGCUGAGGAGCGAAAAGGGUGGGGAGCAAAACAGGCUUAGAUACCCUGGUAGUCCACCCCGUAAACGUUGGGAACUAGUUGUGGGUCCAUUCCACGGAUUCCGUGACGCAGCUAACGCAUUAAGUUCCCCGCCUGGGGAGUAC